GGUCAAGUGAAGAAGCGCAUACGGUGGAUGCCUUGGCAGUCAGAGGCGAUGAAAGACGUGGUAGCCUGCGAAAAGCUUCGGGGAGUCGGCAAACAGACUGUGAUCCGGAGAUGUCUGAAUGGGGGAACCCAGCCAUCAUAAGAUGGUUAUCUUGUACUGAAUACAUAGGUGCAAGAGGCGAACCAGGGGAACUGAAACAUCUAAGUACCCUGAGGAAAAGAAAUCAACCGAGAUUCCCUUAGUAGUGGCGAGCGAACGGGGACUAGCCCUUAAGUGCUUUGAGAUUAGCGGAACGCUCUGGAAAGUGCGGCCAUAGUGGGUGAUAGCCCUGUACGCGAAAAUCUCUUGGUCAUGAAAUCGAGUAGGACGGAGCACGAGAAACUUUGUCUGAAUAUGGGGGGACCAUCCUCCAAGGCUAAAUACUACUGACUGACCGAUAGUGAACCAGUACCGUGAGGGAAAGGCGAAAAGAACCCCGGAGAGGGGAGUGAAAUAGAUCCUGAAACCGUAUGCGUACAAGCAGUGGGAGCCCACUUUGUUGGGUGACUGCGUACCUUUUGUAUAAUGGGUCAGCGACUUAUUUUCAGUGGCGAGCUUAACCGAAUAGGGGAGGCGUAGCGAAAGCGAGUCUUAAUAGGGCGUCUAGUCGCUGGGAAUAGACCCGAAACCGGGCGAUCUAUCCAUGGGCAGGUUGAAGGUUAGGUAACACUGACUGGAGGACCGAACCGACUACCGUUGAAAAGUUAGCGGAUGACCUGUGGAUCGGAGUGAAAGGCUAAUCAAGCUCGGAGAUAGCUGGUUCUCCUCGAAAGCUAUUUAGGUAGCGCCUCAUGUAUCACUGUAGGGGGUAGAGCACUGUUUCGGCUAGGGGGUCAUCCCGACUUACCAAACCGAUGCAAACUCCGAAUACCUACAAGUGCCGAGCAUGGGAGACACACGGCGGGUGCUAACGUCCGUCGUGAAAAGGGAAACAACCCAGACCGUCAGCUAAGGUCCCAAAGUUAUGGUUAAGUGGGAAACGAUGUGGGAAGGCUUAGACAGCUAGGAGGUUGGCUUAGAAGCAGCCACCCUUUAAAGAAAGCGUAAUAGCUCACUAGUCGAGUCGGCCUGCGCGGAAGAUGUAACGGGGCUCAAACCAUACACCGAAGCUACGGGUAUCACGUAAGUGAUGCGGUAGAGGAGCGUUCUGUAAGCCUGUGAAGGUGAGUUGAGAAGCUUGCUGGAGGUAUCAGAAGUGCGAAUGCUGACAUGAGUAACGACAAUGGGUGUGAAAAACACCCACGCCGAAAGACCAAGGUUUCCUGCGCAACGUUAAUCGACGCAGGGUUAGUCGGUCCCUAAGGCGAGGCUGAAAAGCGUAGUCGAUGGAAAACAGGUUAAUAUUCCUGUACUUCUGGUUAUUGCGAUGGAGGGACGGAGAAGGCUAGGCCAGCUUGGCGUUGGUUGUCCAAGUUUAAGGUGGUAGGCUGAGAUCUUAGGUAAAUCCGGGAUCUUAAGGCCGAGAGCUGAUGACGAGUUACCCUUUGGGUGACGAAGUGGUUGAUGCCAUGCUUCCAAGAAAAGCUUCUAAGCUUCAGGUAACCAGGAACCGUACCCCAAACCGACACAGGUGGUUGGGUAGAGAAUACCAAGGCGCUUGAGAGAACUCGGGUGAAGGAACUAGGCAAAAUGGCACCGUAACUUCGGGAGAAGGUGCGCCGGUGAGGGUGAAGCACUUGCUGCGUAAGCCCACGCCGGUCGAAGAUACCAGGCCGCUGCGACUGUUUAUUAAAAACACAGCACUCUGCAAACACGAAAGUGGACGUAUAGGGUGUGACGCCUGCCCGGUGCCGGAAGGUUAAUUGAUGGGGUUAGCUAACGCGAAGCUCUUGAUCGAAGCCCCGGUAAACGGCGGCCGUAACUAUAACGGUCCUAAGGUAGCGAAAUUCCUUGUCGGGUAAGUUCCGACCUGCACGAAUGGCGUAACGAUGGCGGCGCUGUCUCCACCCGAGACUCAGUGAAAUUGAAAUCGCUGUGAAGAUGCAGUGUAUCCGCGGCUAGACGGAAAGACCCCGUGAACCUUUACUAUAGCUUUGCACUGGACUUUGAAUUUGCUUGUGUAGGAUAGGUGGGAGGCUUUGAAGCGUGGACGCCAGUCUGCGUGGAGCCAUCCUUGAAAUACCACCCUGGCAACUUUGAGGUUCUAACUCAGGUCCGUUAUCCGGAUCGAGGACAGUGUAUGGUGGGUAGUUUGACUGGGGCGGUCUCCUCCUAAAGAGUAACGGAGGAGUACGAAGGUGCGCUCAGACCGGUCGGAAAUCGGUCGUAGAGUAUAAAGGCAAAAGCGCGCUUGACUGCGAGACAGACACGUCGAGCAGGUACGAAAGUAGGUCUUAGUGAUCCGGUGGUUCUGUAUGGAAGGGCCAUCGCUCAACGGAUAAAAGGUACUCCGGGGAUAACAGGCUGAUACCGCCCAAGAGUUCAUAUCGACGGCGGUGUUUGGCACCUCGAUGUCGGCUCAUCACAUCCUGGGGCUGAAGCCGGUCCCAAGGGUAUGGCUGUUCGCCAUUUAAAGUGGUACGCGAGCUGGGUUUAGAACGUCGUGAGACAGUUCGGUCCCUAUCUGCCGUGGACGUUUGAGAUUUGAGAGGGGCUGCUCCUAGUACGAGAGGACCGGAGUGGACGAACCUCUGGUGUUCCGGUUGUCACGCCAGUGGCAUUGCCGGGUAGCUAUGUUCGGAAAAGAUAACCGCUGAAAGCAUCUAAGCGGGAAACUUGCCUCAAGAUGAGAUCUCACUGGAGCCUUGAGCUCCCUGAAGGGCCGUCGAAGACUACGACGUUGAUAGGCAGGGUGUGUAAGCGCUGUGAGGCGUUGAGCUAACCUGUACUAAUUGCCCGUGAGGCUUGACCAU
RNAcentral lists this ribosomal RNA (2891 nucleotides) under Pseudomonas sp. B21-056. RNAcentral's name for it is "23S ribosomal RNA". It matches the Rfam family "Bacterial large subunit ribosomal RNA". Lineage: Bacteria; Pseudomonadati; Pseudomonadota; Gammaproteobacteria; Pseudomonadales; Pseudomonadaceae. The record is from RNAcentral.